RNAcentral lists this transfer RNA (73 nucleotides) under Cordylochernes scorpioides. RNAcentral's name for it is "tRNA-Thr". It matches the Rfam family "tRNA". Rfam says of the family: Transfer RNA (tRNA) molecules are approximately 80 nucleotides in length. Their secondary structure includes four short double-helical elements and three loops (D, anti-codon, and T loops). Lineage: Eukaryota; Metazoa; Arthropoda; Arachnida; Pseudoscorpiones; Chernetidae. The record is from RNAcentral.
UCCAGGGUAGCCUAGUGAACAUGGCACCUGCCCGGUAAGCAGAAGGUUGUGGGUUCGAUUCCCGCCCCUGGAA